RNAcentral lists this transfer RNA (59 nucleotides) under Ixodes auritulus. RNAcentral's name for it is "tRNA-Val". Lineage: Eukaryota; Metazoa; Arthropoda; Arachnida; Ixodida; Ixodidae. The record is from RNAcentral.
UAAAAUGGUCCCUAAAGACAAAAUUUCAUUGUAAAAGAAAUAUCUAAUGAUUUCAUUUU